This 253-nucleotide ribosomal RNA is filed under the name uncultured bacterium. RNAcentral's name for it is "partial 16S ribosomal RNA". It matches the Rfam family "Bacterial small subunit ribosomal RNA", at positions 524 to 776 of the family's 1533-position model. The record is from RNAcentral.
UACAGAGGUCUCAAGCGUUGUUCGGAUUCAUUGGGCGUAAAGGGCGCGUAGGCGGCGGGGUAAGUCGGGUGUGAAAUCUCAGAGCUCAACUCUGAAACUGCACUCGAUACUGCUCUGCUUGAGGACUGGAGAGGAGACUGGAAUUUACGGUGUAGCGGUGAAAUGCGUAGAUAUCGUAAGGAAGACCAGUGGCGAAGGCGGGUCUCUGGACAGUUCCUGACGCUGAGGCACGAAGGUCAGGGGAGCAAACGGG